This 751-nucleotide ribosomal RNA is filed under the name uncultured Glomus. RNAcentral's name for it is "SSU rRNA". It matches the Rfam family "Eukaryotic small subunit ribosomal RNA", at positions 338 to 1092 of the family's 1831-position model. The record is from RNAcentral. Lineage: Eukaryota; Fungi; Glomeromycota; Glomeromycetes; Glomerales; Glomeraceae.
GGCCUACCAUGGUGGUAACGGGUAACGGGGUGUUAGGGCACGACACCGGAGAGGGAGCCUGAGAAACGGCUACCACAUCCAAGGAUGGCAGCAGGCGCGCAAAUUACCCAAUCCCGACACGGGGAGGUAGUGACAAUAAAUAACAAUACGGGGUCCUUUAGGGUUUCGUAAUUGGAAUGAGUACAAUUUAAAUCUCUUAACGAGGAACAAUUGGAGGGCAAGUCUGGUGCCAGCAGCCGCGGUAAUUCCAGCUCCAAUAGCGUAUAUUAAAGUUGUUGCAGUUAAAAAGCUCGUAGUUGAAUUUCGGGAUCAGUACGCUGGUCGUGCCUUCGGUAUGUACUGGUGUUACUGGUUCCUACCUUCUGACGAACCGUCAUGUCAUUAAUUUGGUGUGGCGGGAAAUCAGGACUGUUACUUUGAAAAAAUUAGAGUGUUUAAAGCAGGCUCGCGCUUGAAUACAUUAGCAUGGAAUAAUGAAAUAGGACGUUCGAUCCUAUUUUGUUGGUUUCUAGGAUUGACGUAAUGAUUAAUAGGGAUAGUUGGGGGCAUUAGUAUUCAAUUGUCAGAGGUGAAAUUCUUGGAUUUAUUGAAGACUAACUACUGCGAAAGCAUUUGCCAAGGAUGUUUUCAUUAAUCAAGAACGAAAGUUAGGGGAUCGAAGACGAUCGGAUACCGUCGUAGUCUUAACCAUAACUAUGCCGACUAGGGAUCGGAUGAUGUUAAUUCUUAAUGAAUCAUUCGGCGCCUUACG